UUGUAAAUGUGAGGUUUACGUUUUUGCUUCUCCCCCUUAAGAAACAUUGGGAGUGUCAGAUAUUGAAGGCUUGUGUUUACUUGCCUACAAAUGCAAGGUUGCUAACUCAGAUUCAGCAGGCAAGUAAACUUGUGACCUUGUUCUAAAAAUUAAUAAACCACCAUCAGCACCUCAAACAGAGGGGGAAGCUUACAUCUGCUCAUGUUAGUUCAAGCCUGGACCUGCUUUUCAUUCAGAAUGACCUGCCUGCAAAUGGAGGCUACUGGAUUUUAUGUUACAGACUGCUUGCUAAAGGAGACUGACCCGAGACGCGUGGCAUCAUUAAAUUGAGAACAAUGCUGGACAUGCACCACAACCACACAAGUGAAAGAUACCUACUCACCUUGCGCUAGCUGACUGGAACUCAGCAACCGGGAUUGCUUUGGCAAGGAAGGCAUUGCAUGACAGUCAGUCCCCUGCCACACACUGAGAUCGUCCUGCUGAUGACAUCGGUUGUCCCGAAUCCAUGCAGAAAACCAUGGGGGAUGGAUUUUGGUAGGAGUUCAGGAAAGAGAAGCGCAGACCAAGGAGCAUGAAGAGCUGUACUGCAGUGUUUCUUUACUAGUGAGUUUGUAACUCCUUGGCUGGACUUCCCUUGGUCCUUUGGAGAUAGUGCACUUUCUCCUCUAGGUUGCCCGUCUGUGCUGAGGAGGACUGGGGAGCUGCUGUGCAGGUAUCACCUAGCUGCAGAAAGAUUCUUCAGAAAGCAAACCACCGUGACGUGGACCUUGUCUGAUAUUUAUCUUUCCAGCUGGCGUUCCUUGGUUACCCCACACUCUUCUGAAAAUUGCCAGUCAGCUUUGAAAGGAAGCUGAAGUUGCCAGGUUAUAUCAGGUCCAGGGACUUUCAUAACAGCAGAGAGUAGCUGACGGUGGGAACAGACCAGUGUGCGUGGUUCUGCUGCCACAUCAGAAGCCAACUUCAUCAAAAGAGACACAGUGCCGUUCAUAAGGAAGAAAAGAAAAAGAAUCAUGUUCCUAGGCAGCCAAAAUGCAGAUGGUAGGGGCAUUUAAGGAAAAACACAUAUGAACUAUGCAUUUCAAAACCCAUUAGUCAUUUACAGAUAUAGGCAGGUCAGUCUAAACAACUAAAUCUUGUGCCUGUUUGAAUAAUACUUACAUGAUUAGAGUUAUGACAGCUGCAAAGCAAGGCAGAAGAUUGAGGAGUAAGACCGUAUUUGGAGACUGGGACUGGCAACAGUAGAUUACCCUCGAACAAUCUAUUAAAUAGCAAUCAAUCAGGUAUGAAAGUUGGUCAGUGUCUGGAGAAAGGAAACUCCAAAAGUCUGUGACUGCAAAAAUGAAUAGGGAAGACCGCAGGCAAAGACAGAGGUGUACAAUUACUCCAGAAUGAGUAAACUCCCUUUGAAACUGUAUGCUAACUAUGCGUGCUGACUAACGCUACAUUACUUUUUCUAGUUUGUGAGACAUUCAGGAUUCACUAGUAAAAUACAAAUGGCCAUAAACACUGUAAAUGUUAAAGUGAAAAGCUGUAAAUCAGAGGGGCUGUUAGGUGCUUACAGUCGAAGAAAUGUCCUCGUUUUCUGACAUGCAUGUCAUUUGCAGCUCUCUGGCUUCAGUACUCAAUGGGGUUGAAGAAACUAAUAUCUGAGUAAUGGGAUGCAGAAUUUUUAAAAGGUUCAUUGAAGUAAUUAAAUGAAUGAGUGAUGCUAUUCAACAGUAUGACUGUACCCUAUAGUACCCUUUGGAAAAAGUAUUUAUCUAAAAAAACCUAUAAAUGCUCUAAUAGCAAGGUAUAACACAAGGUGGGCAACAUACAUAUCAAGAUAACUGAACAUAUUUUUAGCCAGAGAAUGAAAUUAUCUGCAGUUUUA
Molecule: long non-coding RNA, 1873 nt
Filed under: Struthio camelus australis
Lineage: Eukaryota; Metazoa; Chordata; Aves; Struthioniformes; Struthionidae
Description: lncRNA (ENSSCUG00000012977.1)
Source: RNAcentral